This 252-nucleotide ribosomal RNA is filed under the name uncultured bacterium. Its description in RNAcentral is "partial 16S ribosomal RNA". It matches the Rfam family "Bacterial small subunit ribosomal RNA", at positions 524 to 776 of the family's 1533-position model. The record is from RNAcentral.
UACGUAGGGUGCGAGCGUUGUCCGGAAUUACUGGGCGUAAAGGGUACGUAGGCGGUUAGAAAAGUUAGAAGUGAAAGGCUAUAGCUCAACUAUAGUAAGCUUUUAAAACUGCUCAUCUUGAGGUAUGGAAGGGAAAGUGGAAUUCCUAGUGUAGCGGUGAAAUGCGCAGAUAUUAGGAGGAAUACCGGUGGCGAAGGCGACUUUCUGGCCAUUAUCUGACGCUGAGGUACGAAAGCGUGGGUAGCAAACAGG